Molecule: ribosomal RNA, 496 nt
Filed under: uncultured bacterium
Lineage: Bacteria
Description: partial 16S ribosomal RNA
Rfam family: Bacterial small subunit ribosomal RNA
Source: RNAcentral
GAUGAACGCUGGCGGCGUGCCUAAUACAUGCAAGUCGAGCGAACGGACGAGAAGCUUGCUUCUCUGAUGUUAGCGGCGGACGGGUGAGUAACACGUGGAUAACCUACCUAUAAGACUGGGAUAACUUCGGGAAACCGGAGCUAAUACCGGAUAAUAUUUUGAACCGCAUGGUUCAAAAGUGAAAGACGGUCUUGCUGUCACUUAUAGAUGGAUCCGCGCUGCAUUAGCUAGUUGGUAAGGUAACGGCUUACCAAGGCAACGAUGCAUAGCCGACCUGAGAGGGUGAUCGGCCACACUGGAACUGAGACACGGUCCAGACUCCUACGGGAGGCAGCAGUAGGGAAUCUUCCGCAAUGGGCGAAAGCCUGACGGAGCAACGCCGCGUGAGUGAUGAAGGUCUGCGGACCGUAAAACUCUGUUAUUAGGGAAGAACAUAUGUGUAAGUAACUGUGCACAUCUUGACGGUACCUAAGCAGAAAGCCACGGCUAACUACGU